AUUGAACGCUGGCGGCAGGCCUAACACAUGCAAGUCGAACGCGUGGCGGACGGGUGAGUAAUGUCUGGGAACCUGCCUGAUGGAGGGGGAUAACUACUGGAAACGGUAGCUAAUCCCGCAUACCAUCGGAUGUGCCCAGAUGGGAUUAGCUAGUAGGUGGGGUAAAGGCUCACCUCGGCGACGAUCCCUAGCUGGUCUGAGAGGAUGACCAGCCAAACGGGAACGGAGACACGGUCCAGACUCCGACGGGAGGAAGCAGUGGGGAAUAUUGCACAAGGGGCGCAAGCCUGAUGCAGCCAUGCCGCGGGUAUGAAGAAGGCCUUCGGGUUGUAAAGUACUUUCAGCGGGGAGGCGUUACCCGCAGAAGAAGCACCGGCUAACUCCGUGCCAGCAGCCGCGGUAAUAC
Molecule: ribosomal RNA, 406 nt
Filed under: uncultured bacterium
Lineage: Bacteria
Description: partial 16S ribosomal RNA
Rfam family: Bacterial small subunit ribosomal RNA
Source: RNAcentral